This is a non-coding RNA of Mycena vulgaris, 94 nucleotides long. The record is from the annotation of a GenBank genome assembly. NCBI's taxonomy places the organism in Eukaryota, Fungi, Basidiomycota, Agaricomycetes, Agaricales, Mycenaceae.
GUCCUGCUGGUGCGCGGUGCACAUCUGCCCUCAUUUCGUAUAUCCCCCGCACCCAGUGAUGCAGAAGGACCCCGUUCGACUCGGGGGCAGGACA